This 74-nucleotide transfer RNA is filed under the name Elizabethkingia miricola. RNAcentral's name for it is "tRNA-Arg". It matches the Rfam family "tRNA". From Rfam's summary of the family: Transfer RNA (tRNA) molecules are approximately 80 nucleotides in length. Their secondary structure includes four short double-helical elements and three loops (D, anti-codon, and T loops). Lineage: Bacteria; Pseudomonadati; Bacteroidota; Flavobacteriia; Flavobacteriales; Weeksellaceae. RNAcentral also lists the same sequence under 5 other names. The record is from RNAcentral.
GGGUGCGUAGCUCAAUUGGAUAGAGUGCUAGAUUACGGCUCUAGAGGUUGGGGGUUCGACUCCUCCCGCGCUCA